Molecule: ribosomal RNA, 497 nt
Filed under: uncultured bacterium
Lineage: Bacteria
Description: partial 16S ribosomal RNA
Rfam family: Bacterial small subunit ribosomal RNA
Source: RNAcentral
GAUGAACGCUGGCGGCGUGCCUAAUACAUGCAAGUCGAGCGAACAGACGAGGAGCUUGCUCCUCUGACGUUAGCGGCGGACGGGUGAGUAACACGUGGAUAACCUACCUAUAAGACUGGGAUAACUUCGGGAAACCGGAGCUAAUACCGGAUAAUAUAUUGAACCGCAUGGUUCAAUAGUUAAAGACGGUUUUGCUGUCACUUAUAGAUGGAUCCGCGCCGCAUUAGCUAGUUGGUAAGGUAACGGCUUACCAAGGCAACGAUGCGUAGCCGACCUGAGAGGGUGAUCGGCCACACUGGAACUGAGACACGGUCCAGACUCCUACGGGAGGCAGCAGUAGGGAAUCUUCCGCAAUGGGCGAAAGCUUGACGGAGCAACGCCGCGUGAGUGAUGAAGGUCUUCGGAUCGUAAAACUCUGUUAGUAGGGAAGAACAAAUGUGUAAGUAACUAUGCACGUCUUGACGGUACCUAAUCAGAAAGCCACGGCUAACUACGUG